AACUCAAUUGUGUUAUUACACACACGUAUCGGCACAUGCGCCGGGGUGCUCUGAAUCACAAGGUCGGGGUCGGCCGUAUGGGAUACGUGGAGGCAUAAC
Molecule: small RNA, 99 nt
Organism: Sodalis glossinidius str. 'morsitans'
Lineage: Bacteria; Pseudomonadati; Pseudomonadota; Gammaproteobacteria; Enterobacterales; Bruguierivoracaceae
Rfam family: t44 RNA
About the family: This family consists of a number of bacterial RNA genes of between 135 and 170 bases in length. The t44 gene is found between the map and rpsB genes in all species in the full alignment apart from Shigella flexneri.
Source: Rfam